GCCCCUACAGAAUCAACUCUAGAAGAAAUGACUUUCAACGAAGGUACUAAUAAUAUAAAGAAUGAAAUCGUCCAUGCCCUCUGAUCUUGUUUGAACGGAACAAAACGUAUAACACACAAAACCAGUGAACCUUUCAUCUCCUCUAAACUGAACAACUUAUCUCCUCUAAACUGAACGAUGAAAUUUUCAAGCACUGAAACAUAAUACAUUAGUUCAAACAAGCACAUUUUUCUUAAAUCCGCAGAGCUACCUUCUAUUACCUAGAGCGAGGAUAACAACCAGUUUGAUACACGAGGCUAGCUGAAACGGAGCAUCCAAACGCCACAUCCUCUAGUCAAUUAGAAUCAGAGGUAGCUUUGCACACAGAUGUGGACAAGCAUUUCCCUGUGAGUGAAAAGUAAUCCUUGACUAAGCACUUCGAUUCUCUUAGAGUUAUCAUCAUCAACUCUGAUGUAUCAUCUACCGUUUUGACAUUCCACAAAUUCACCAUUAUGUAGCAGUCAGAUUCAAAGGCCACCUCCCUCCAGGCUUCUUAAAUUGCAGUAUAAUGCCAUUCCUGAAGGCAACCAUUUACGCCAUGAGAGAAUUAAGAACCUACUUUGAGUAGUUGCAAGAACAAACUCCCCUGUAGUGGGUCUUGUGUACAUGCAACUUCAUUUAGUGGAGCAGAUGGUGGUGGUGCUUGCUGCAGUGCCCCCACACGUAUAGAAGACCUCAAGAACGGGGUCCCUAUGCGCCCUUAGGCCGCCGUCUCCGCACGUCUUGCAACCGCCGGUGCUGCAUGCUCUGCAGCUCUAUCCUUGUAGUGGGAGAACCGAGGGACACGAGAGGGAGAAGAGAUGAUGUGGCCUCACCUACUUCGGCCGCCCCAGAUGUGUUGCCGCCAUGGACCUUGAAGCUCCCAUCGCCAAUUAUAUGCGAGGAGGCACCAUGCGCGGCAAGGGAAGAACCCGUACAGGCCAACGGCGAAAGAGAUCGAGGCUGGUAUCAACUCUGGAGUACCGACUAUUGGCCGAUCAAAAUUGAAGCCAUCAUCCGAAAUUCACGAUCUCGUGAGAAUAAAAUUAGAUUGAUACACAGGGAUUGCUCCAUUCGUCGCUGCUCAACAGUAAUAGGAAGGCCAUGCUGACGACAUAGCGGCAACCCACCGGCGUGGAGUCUCUGUUCAACACCAGGCUGUUGGGUUCCUGCGCUUCUAGGACGACCUUCGCGUCACCCUGACAUGCUACUGCUCAUGUGCCUCCGUGAGAUAUUUAGGGCCUGUUCUUUUG
RNAcentral lists this long non-coding RNA (1271 nucleotides) under Hordeum vulgare. RNAcentral describes it as "long non-coding RNA (HVUL_LNC003859)". Lineage: Eukaryota; Viridiplantae; Streptophyta; Magnoliopsida; Poales; Poaceae. The record is from RNAcentral.